UGGGGAAUAUUGCACAAUGGGGGGAACCCUGAUGCAGCCAUGCCGCGUGAAUGAAGAAGGCCUUCGGGUUGUAAAGUUCUUUCGGUGACGAGGAAGGUUGGUAGGUUAAUAGCCUAUCAAAUUGACGUUAAUCACAGAAGAAGCACCGGCUAACUCCGUGCCAGCAGCCGCGGUAAUACGGGGGGUGCGAGCGUUAAUCGGAAUAACUGGGCGUAAAGGGCACGCAGGCGGUGACUUAAGUGAGAUGUGAAAGCCCCGGGCUUAACCUGGGAAUUGCAUUUCAUACUGGGUCGCUAGAGUACUUUAGGGAGGGGUAGAAUUCCACGUGUAGCGGUGAAAUGCGUAGAGAUGUGGAGGAAUACCGAAGGCGAAGGCAGCCCCUUGGGAAUGUACUGACGCUCAUGUGCGAAAGCGUGGGGAGCAAACA
RNAcentral lists this ribosomal RNA (427 nucleotides) under uncultured bacterium. RNAcentral describes it as "bacterial SSU rRNA". It matches the Rfam family "Bacterial small subunit ribosomal RNA", at positions 355 to 774 of the family's 1533-position model. The record is from RNAcentral.